This 71-nucleotide transfer RNA is filed under the name Candidatus Moraniibacteriota bacterium. Its description in RNAcentral is "tRNA-Pro". It matches the Rfam family "tRNA". From Rfam's summary of the family: Transfer RNA (tRNA) molecules are approximately 80 nucleotides in length. Their secondary structure includes four short double-helical elements and three loops (D, anti-codon, and T loops). The record is from RNAcentral. RNAcentral also lists the same sequence under 1 other name. Lineage: Bacteria; Candidatus Moraniibacteriota.
CGGGGCAUAGUAUACCGGUAGUACGCGCCCUUCGGGUGGGUGUAGACCGAGUUCGAUUCUCGGUGCCCCGA